RNAcentral lists this ribosomal RNA (247 nucleotides) under uncultured bacterium. RNAcentral describes it as "partial 16S ribosomal RNA". It matches the Rfam family "Bacterial small subunit ribosomal RNA", at positions 523 to 769 of the family's 1533-position model. The record is from RNAcentral.
AUACGUAGGGGGCAAGCGUUAUCCGGAUUUACUGGGUGUAAAGGGAGCGUAGACGGCAAGGCAAGUCUGAUGUGAAAACCCAGGGCUUAACCCUGGGACUGCAUUGGAAACUGUCUGGCUCGAGUGCCGGAGAGGUAAGCGGAAUUCCUAGUGUAGCGGUGAAAUGCGUAGAUAUUAGGAAGAACACCAGUGGCAAAGGCGGCUUACUGGACGGUAACUGACGUUGAGGCUCGAAAGCGUGGGGAGC